UACGAAGGGGGCUAGCGUUGCUCGGAAUCACUGGGCGUAAAGGGUGCGUAGGCGGGUUUUUAAGUCAGAGGUGAAAUCCUGGAGCUCAACUCCAGAACUGCCUUUGAUACUGAAAGUCUUGAGUAUGGGAGAGGUGAGUGAACUGCGAGUGUAGAGGUGAAAUUCGUAGAUAUUCGCAAAGAACACCAGUGGCGAAGGCGGCUCACUGGCCCAUUACUGACGCUGAGGCACGAAAGCGUGGGGAGCGAACAGG
This 253-nucleotide ribosomal RNA is filed under the name uncultured bacterium. RNAcentral describes it as "partial 16S ribosomal RNA". It matches the Rfam family "Bacterial small subunit ribosomal RNA", at positions 524 to 776 of the family's 1533-position model. The record is from RNAcentral.